This 484-nucleotide ribosomal RNA is filed under the name uncultured bacterium. RNAcentral describes it as "partial 16S ribosomal RNA". It matches the Rfam family "Bacterial small subunit ribosomal RNA", at positions 30 to 507 of the family's 1533-position model. The record is from RNAcentral.
AUUGAACGCUGGCGGCAGGCCUAACACAUGCAAGUCGAGCGGAUGAAGGGAGCUUGCUCCUGGAUUCAGCGGCGGACGGGUGAGUAAUGCCUAGGAAUCUGCCUGGUAGUGGGGGAUAACGUCCGGAAAAGGGCGCUAAUACCGCAUACGUCCUGAGGGAGCAAGUGGGGGGGCUUCGGACCUCACGCUAUCAGAGGAGCCUAGGUCGGAUUAGCUAGUUGGUGGGGUAAAGGCCUACCAAGGCGACGAUCCGUAACUGGCCUGAGAGGAUGGUCAGUCACACUGGAACUGAGACACGGUCCAGACUCCUACGGGAGGCAGCAGUGGGGAAUAUUGGACAAUGGGCGAAAGCCUUAUCCAGCCAUGCCGCGUGUGUGGAGAAGGUCUUCGGAUUGUAAAGCACUUUAAGUUGGGAGGAAGGGCAGUAAGUUAAUACCUUGCUGUUUUGACGUUACCAACAGAAUAAGCACCGGCUAACUUCGUG